GAUGAACGCUGGCGGCGUGCCUAAUACAUGCAAGUCGAGCGAACGGACGAGAAGCUUGCUUCUCUGAUGUUAGCGGCGGACGGGUGAGUAACACGUGGAUAACCUACCUAUAAGACUGGGAUAACUUCGGGAAACCGUAGCUAAUACCGGAUAAUAUUUUGAACCGCAUGGUUCAAAAGUGAAAGACGGUCUUGCUGUCACUUAUAGAUGGAUCCGCGCUGCAUUAGCUAGUUGGUAAGGUAACGGCUUACCAAGGCAACGAUGCAUAGCCGACCUGAGAGGGUGAUCGGUCACACUGGAACUGAGACACGGUCCAGACUCCUACGGAAGGCAGCAGUAGGGAAUCUUCCGCAAUGGGCGAAAGCCUGACGGAGCAACGCCGCGUGAGUGAUGAAGGUCUUCGGAUCGUAAAACUCUGUUAUUAGGGAAGAACAUAUGUGUAAGUAACUGUGCACAUCUUGACGGUACCUAAUCAGAAAGCCACGGCUAACUACGUG
This 497-nucleotide ribosomal RNA is filed under the name uncultured bacterium. RNAcentral describes it as "partial 16S ribosomal RNA". It matches the Rfam family "Bacterial small subunit ribosomal RNA", at positions 28 to 507 of the family's 1533-position model. The record is from RNAcentral.